UGCAAGUCGAACGGUAACGCGCGGGACAACCUGGCGACGAGUGGCGAACGGGUGAGUAAUACAUCGGAACGUGCCCAGUAGUGGGGGAUAGCCCGGCGAAAGCCGGAUUAAUACCGCAUACGACCUACGGGUGAAAGCGGGGGAUCGCAAGACCUCGCGCUAUUGGAGCGGCCGAUGUCAGAUUAGCUAGUUGGUGGGGUAAAGGCCUACCAAGGCGACGAUCUGUAGCUGGUCUGAGAGGACGACCAGCCACACUGGGACUGAGACACGGCCCAGACUCCUACGGGAGGCAGCAGUGGGGAAUUUUGGACAAUGGGGGCAACCCUGAUCCAGCCAUGCCGCGUGCGGGAAGAAGGCCUUCGGGUUGUAAACCGCUUUUGUCGGGGAAGAAACGGUUUGCGCUAAUACCGCGGGCUAAUGACGGUACCCGAAGAAUAAGCCCCGGCUAAUUACGUGCCAGCAGCCGCGGUAAUACGUAGGGGUGCAAGCGUUAAUCGGAAUUACUGGGCGUAAAAGCGUGCGCAGGCGGCUUUGCAAGACAGAUGUGAAAUCCCCGGGCUCAACCUGGGAACUGCAUUUGUGACUGCAUGGCUGGAGUGCGGCAGAGGGGGAUGGAAUUCCGCGUGUAGCAGUGAAAUGCGUAGAUAUGCGGAGGAACACCGAUGGCGAAGGCAAUCCCCUGGGCCUGCACUGACGCUCAUGCACGAAAGCGUGGGGAGCAAACAGGAUUAGAUACCCUGGUAGUCCACGCCCUAAACGAUGUCAACUGGUUGUUGGACGGCUUGCUGUUCAGUAACGAAGCUAACGCGUGAAGUUGACCGCCUGGGGAGUACGGCCGCAAGGUUGAAACUCAAAGAAAUUGACGGGGACCCGCACAAGCGGUGGAUGAUGUGGUUUAAUUCGAUGCACCGCGAAAAACCUUACCUACCCUUGACAUGCCAGGAACUUGCCAAAAAUGGCUUGGUGCUCGAAAGAGAACCUGGACACAGGUGCUGCAUGGCCGUCGUCAGCUCGUGUCGUGAGAUGUUGGGUUAAGUCCCGCAACGAGCGCAACCCUUAUCAUUAGUUGCUACGCAAGGGCACUCUAAUGAGACUGCCGGUGACAAACCGGAGGAAGGUGGGGAUGACGUCAGGUCAUCAUGGCCCUUAUGGGUAGGGCUACACACGUCAUACAAUGGCCGGUACAGAGGGCUGCCAACCCGCGAGGGGGAGCUAAUCUCAGAAAACCGGUCGUAGUCCGGAUCGCAGUCUGCAACUCGACUGCGUGAAGUCGGAAUCGCUAGUAAUCGCGGAUCAGCUUGCCGCGGUGAAUACGUUCCCGGGUCUUGUACACACCGCCCGUCACACCAUGGGAGCGGGUUCUGCCAGAAGUAGUUAGCCUAACCGCAAGGAGGGCGAU
Molecule: ribosomal RNA, 1399 nt
Filed under: groundwater biofilm bacterium G2
Lineage: Bacteria
Description: bacterial SSU rRNA
Rfam family: Bacterial small subunit ribosomal RNA
Source: RNAcentral